This 253-nucleotide ribosomal RNA is filed under the name uncultured bacterium. RNAcentral describes it as "partial 16S ribosomal RNA". It matches the Rfam family "Bacterial small subunit ribosomal RNA", at positions 524 to 776 of the family's 1533-position model. The record is from RNAcentral.
UACGUAGGGUGCAGGCGUUAAUCGGAAUUACUGGGCGUAAAGCGUGCGCAGGCGGCUUUGCAAGACAGAUGUGAAAUCCCCGGGCUUAACCUGGGAACUGCAUUUGUGACUGCAAGGCUAGAGUACGGUAGAGGGGGAUGGAAUUCCGCGUGUAGCAGUGAAAUGCGUAGAUAUGCGGAGGAACACCGAUGGCGAAGGCAAUCCCCUGGACCUGUACUGACGCUCAUGCACGAAAGCGUGGGGAGCAAACAGG